CACAGCCACUGUGUUAAUGCUACUCUUGGGCUGCACUUUUCUGUAACGGUUGGAUCAGUUCACCAUGAUUACCAACAUCUUAAUGAGCAGACUGAAGCACAAGGAGGCUGCUCUGCUGACAGACAGCAAACACAGUCCAUUCAACCAGGAACUGAGUUUCUCUCUCAUCAGAAGCAACACGAAAGUUCUCAGAACCGCCCUCAUGGGGAGCAAUCUCAAAUAUUUGUGAGAAAGAAUCAAGAGGAGAAAAAAUACUUCUCUGGAUGCGUCUGAUUGAAUUGUAAUGUCAUUACACUGACUGUUAAAGCCUCAGAUUUUGCUUCUUAAUUUUUCAAUUUGAUUUUUGAUUUUUACGCAAAUUUCUA
This is a long non-coding RNA of Calidris pugnax (ruff), 365 nucleotides long. RefSeq lists it as uncharacterized. The transcript has 3 exons. The record is from RefSeq and is a predicted model, not a curated record. NCBI's taxonomy places the organism in Eukaryota, Metazoa, Chordata, Aves, Charadriiformes, Scolopacidae.